GGUGGNGGACCCGUGGCGAACGGGUGAGUAAUAUAUCGGAACGUGCCCAGUCGUGGGGGAUAACGUAGCGAAAGCUACGCUAAUACCGCAUACGAUCUAUGGAUGAAAGCGGGGGAUCGCAAGACCUCGCGCGAUUGGAGCGGCCGAUAUCAGAUUAGGUAGUUGGUGAGGUAAAGGCUCACCAAGCCGACGAUCUGUAGCUGGUCUGAGAGGACGACCAGCCACACUGGGACUGAGACACGGCCCAGACUCCUACGGGAGGCAGCAGUGGGGAAUUUUGGACAAUGGGCGCAAGCCUGAUCCAGCAAUGCCGCGUGCAGGAUGAAGGCCUUCGGGUUGUAAACUGCUUUGUACGGAACGAAACGGUGAGCUCUAAUACAGUUUGCUAAUGACGGUACCGUAAGAAUAAGCACCGGCUAACUACGUG
Molecule: ribosomal RNA, 427 nt
Filed under: uncultured bacterium
Lineage: Bacteria
Description: bacterial SSU rRNA
Rfam family: Bacterial small subunit ribosomal RNA
Source: RNAcentral